Molecule: ribosomal RNA, 679 nt
Filed under: Bacillus thuringiensis
Lineage: Bacteria; Bacillati; Bacillota; Bacilli; Caryophanales; Bacillaceae
Description: bacterial SSU rRNA
Rfam family: Bacterial small subunit ribosomal RNA
Source: RNAcentral
UUCCCGGCAAGCGGAAUGGAUUAAGAGCUUUGCUCUUAUGAAGUUAGCGGCGGACGCGGUGAGUAACACGUGGGUAACCUGCCCAUAAGACUGGGAUAACUCCGGGAAACCGGGGCUAAUACCGGAUAACAUUUUGAACUGCAUGGUUCGAAAUUGAAAGGCGGCUUCGGCUGUCACUUAUGGAUGGACCCGCGUCGCAUUAGCUAGUUGGUGAGGUAACGGCUCACCAAGGCAACGAUGCGUAGCCGACCUGAGAGGGUGAUCGGCCACACUGGGACUGAGACACGGCCCAGACUCCUACGGGAGGCAGCAGUAGGGAAUCUUCCGCAAUGGACGAAAGUCUGACGGAGCAACGCCGCGUGAGUGAUGAAGGCUUUCGGGUCGUAAAACUCUGUUGUUAGGGAAGAACAAGUGCUAGUUGAAUAAGCUGGCACCUUGACGGUACCUAACCAGAAAGCCACGGCUAACUACGUGCCAGCAGCCGCGGUAAUACGUAGGUGGCAAGCGUUAUCCGGAAUUAUUGGGCGUAAAGCGCGCGCAGGUGGUUUCUUAAGUCUGAUGUGAAAGCCCACGGCUCAACCGUGGAGGGUCAUUGGAAAACUGGGAGACUUUGAGUGCAGAAGAGGAAAAGUGGAAUUUCCAUGUGUAGCGGUGAAAUGCGUAUAGAUAUGGAGGGAAC